This 793-nucleotide ribosomal RNA is filed under the name uncultured archaeon. Its description in RNAcentral is "bacterial SSU rRNA". It matches the Rfam family "Archaeal small subunit ribosomal RNA", at positions 593 to 1353 of the family's 1478-position model. The record is from RNAcentral.
UAGGGGCGGGAGAGGCCGGGGGUACUCCCGGGGUAGGGGCGAAAUCCUUAUAAUCCCGGGAGGACCACCAGUGGCGAAGGCGCCCGGCUGGAACGCGCCCGACGGUGAGGGGCGAAAGCCGGGGGAGCGAACCGGAUUAGAUACCCGGGUAGUCCCGGCUGUAAACGAUGCGGGCUAGGUGUCGGACGGGCUUAGAGCCCGUCCGGUGCCGCAGGGAAGCCGUUAAGCCCGCCGCCUGGGGAGUACGGCCGCAAGGCUGAAACUUAAAGGAAUUGGCGGGGGAGCACAACAAGGGGUGGAGCCUGCGGCUUAAUUGGAGUCAACGCCGGGAAACUUACCGGGGGCGACAGCAGGAUGACGGCCAGGUUAAAGGCCUUGCCCGACGCGCUGAGAGGAGGUGCACGGCCGUCGCCAGCUCGUGCCGUGAGGUGUCCGGUUAAGUCCGGCAACGAGCGAGACCCCCGCCCCUAGUUGCUACCCGGUCCUUCGGGGCCGGGGCACACUAGGGGGACUGCCGGCGUCUAAGCCGGAGGAAGGUGGGGGCCACGGCAGGUCAGCAUAGGGGCCUAUCCCGUGGGAGGGCCCCGCUGAAGCCCCGAAACCCCCGGGCUGCACGCGGGCUACAAUGGCCGGGACAGCGGGAUCCGACCCCGAAAGGGGGAGGCAAUCCCUUAAACCCGGCCUCAGUUGGGAUCGAGGGCUGUAACUCGCCCUCGUGAACGCGGAAUCCCUAGUAACCGCGCGUCAUCAUCGCGCGGUGAAUACGUCCCUGCUCCUUGUACACACCGCCCGU